AGGUGCAGAAUCUGGGUUGCUAUUCUGUGAGUAACUUGGAGUUGAAGCUGAACCUCCCGUCGGUGGCGGCCGAGGACAGAGUUUUUAUGACAGUCACUGAUGUCUCUUCACAUAAUGUAAGUACAGUUCAGCCCCACGGUCUGUGUUGUAUCUAAAACAUUAACCACAGUGUCCCAUAGGCCACUGGGGUAAACUGCAGUGUCCUCAACAACCUGGCUCAGCUGAAAGCAAGACAGGGAGACGUACGGCCGCUUCAUCAGGAGGACAUGAUUCAAAAUGACAUACUGAACUGCAGCAGGUCGUGGUGCACUGAGGUCACCUGUGAGGUCCGGCAGCUCUUGAGAGGAGAGGCUGCAGUCAUCCGAGUCAGCCGCAGAGUUCACGAUGACUUUUUCAGAAACGCAAAGUACAAAUCAGCGAGAAUAAUAGGCGCAUUCAACGUCGCAGCUCAGGAAACUAACCUCAUCACUUUGGGCACGGGACAGUCUGGAGAGAGGUGAAGCCAACGUCAUUUUCAUGUAUUUCUUUUCUAUUAUUGUUUAUGGACAUAGGAGCCUAUGUUGGUUUAUUUUUGUCUUUGUAGACUGUUCUGGAAGUGCUGAAAGGGAGGGCCAUUCCCAUCUCUCUGUGGAUACUGAUUGGCAGCAUCAUUGGAGGUUUACUACUACUGGCCCUCAUUACAUUUAUACUAUGG
RNAcentral lists this long non-coding RNA (694 nucleotides) under Neogobius melanostomus (round goby). RNAcentral's name for it is "lncRNA (ENSNMLG00000015164.1)". Lineage: Eukaryota; Metazoa; Chordata; Actinopteri; Gobiiformes; Gobiidae. The record is from RNAcentral.